GGCGAUCAGAUACCGCCCUAGUUCUGACCGUAAACGAUGCCAACUAGCGAUCCGCCAGUCGACUCAUCGCUCUGGUGGGGAGCUUCCCGGAAACGAAAGUCUUCCGGUUCCGGGGGAAGUAUGGUUGCAAAGCUGAAACUUAAAGGAAUUGACGGAAGGGCACCACCAGGAGUGGAGCCUGCGGCUUAAUUUGACUCAACACGGGGAAACUCACCCGGCCCGGACACCGUAAGGAUUGACAGAUUGAUAGCUUUUUCAUGAUUCGGUGGAUGGUGGUGCAUGGCCGUUCUUAGUUCGUGGAGCGAUUUGUCUGGUUUAUUCCGAUAACGAGCGAAACUCUGGCCUACUAAAUAGUUGACGCAUUGCCACUGUGCGCACAACUUCUUAGAGGGAUUUUCGGUGUUUUCAACCGCACGAAAUUGAGCAAUAACAGGUCUGUGAUGCCCUUAGAUGUCCGGGGCUGCACGCGCGCUACACUGGCAAACGCAACGUGCCUGUCCUGCCCCGAAAGGAGCGGGUAAACCCCUGAAAUUUUGCCGUGAUUGGGAUCGGACAUUGCAACUAUUGUCCGUGAACGAGGAAUUCCUUGUAGGGGCGAGUCAUCAACUCGUCCCGAAUACGUCCCUGCCCUUGUA
RNAcentral lists this ribosomal RNA (635 nucleotides) under Rotylenchulus reniformis. RNAcentral's name for it is "SSU rRNA". It matches the Rfam family "Eukaryotic small subunit ribosomal RNA", at positions 1003 to 1664 of the family's 1831-position model. The record is from RNAcentral. Lineage: Eukaryota; Metazoa; Nematoda; Chromadorea; Rhabditida; Hoplolaimidae.